RNAcentral lists this ribosomal RNA (252 nucleotides) under uncultured Lactobacillus sp. RNAcentral's name for it is "partial 16S ribosomal RNA". It matches the Rfam family "Bacterial small subunit ribosomal RNA", at positions 94 to 339 of the family's 1533-position model. The record is from RNAcentral. Lineage: Bacteria; Bacillati; Bacillota; Bacilli; Lactobacillales; Lactobacillaceae.
AGCGGCGGAUGGGUGAGUAACACGUGGGGAACCUGCCCCUAAGUCUGGGAUACCAUUUGGAAACAGGUGCUAAUACCGCAUAACAACCAAAAAGCACAUGCUUUUGGUUGAAAGAUGGUUUCGGCUAUCACUUCAGGAUGGCCCCGCGGUGCAUUAGCUAGUUGGUAAGGUAACGGCUUACCAAGGCGACGAUGCAUAGCCGAGUUGAGAGACUGAUCGGCCACAUUGGGACUGAGACACGGCCCGAACUCC